UACGAAGGGGGCUAGCGUUGCUCGGAAUUACUGGGCGUAAAGCGCACGUAGGCGGCUUCUUAAGUCGGUGGUGAAAUCCUGGAGCUCAACUCCAGAACUGCCUUCGAUACUGGGAAGCUCGAGUCCGGGAGAGGUGAGUGGAACUGCGAGUGUAGAGGUGAAAUUCGUAGAUAUUCGCAAGAACACCAGUUGCGAAGGCGGCUCACUGGCCCGGUACUGACGCUGAGGUGCGAAAGCGUGGGGAGCAAACAGG
RNAcentral lists this ribosomal RNA (253 nucleotides) under uncultured bacterium. RNAcentral describes it as "partial 16S ribosomal RNA". It matches the Rfam family "Bacterial small subunit ribosomal RNA", at positions 524 to 776 of the family's 1533-position model. The record is from RNAcentral.